GACGAACGCUGGCGGCGUGCUUAACACAUGCAAGUCGAACGGAAAGGCCCUGCUUUUGUGGGGUGCUCGAGUGGCGAACGGGUGAGUAACACGUGAGUAACCUGCCCUUGACUUUGGGAUAACUUCAGGAAACUGGGGCUAAUACCGGAUAGGAGCUCCUGCUGCAUGGUGGGGGUUGGAAAGUUUCGGCGGUUGGGGAUGGACUCGCGGCUUAUCAGCCUGUUGGUGGGGUAGUGGCUUACCAAGGCUUUGACGGGUAGCCGGCCUGAGAGGGUGACCGGCCACAUUGGGACUGAGAUACGGCCCAGACUGCUACGGGAGGCAGCAGUGGGGAAUAUUGCACAAUGGGCGGAAGCCUGAUGCAGCAACGCCGCGUGCGGGAUGACGGCCUUCGGGUUGUAAGCCGCUUUCGCCUGUGACGAAGCGUGAGUGACGGUAAUGAGUAAAGAAGCAACGGCUAACUACGUG
This 468-nucleotide ribosomal RNA is filed under the name uncultured bacterium. Its description in RNAcentral is "partial 16S ribosomal RNA". It matches the Rfam family "Bacterial small subunit ribosomal RNA", at positions 28 to 507 of the family's 1533-position model. The record is from RNAcentral.